RNAcentral lists this long non-coding RNA (794 nucleotides) under Androctonus crassicauda. Lineage: Eukaryota; Metazoa; Arthropoda; Arachnida; Scorpiones; Buthidae. The record is from RNAcentral.
GAUGUUAUGUUGUCUUCUCUAGGAUUUUUCCACAUUUCAUCAUCAUAAUUGCUUUAUCUACUUUUUGCAGUAAUAUUGCCAGGAUGUCUUCUAUAUUUGCUGAACUUUAUCAUGUUUGCCUGAAUUGAUUGCUUGGUUUAUACAGUUUCUUGUUGAAGGCCACUACUUUUUUCUAAUAUACUGUCUCUGUUGGUGAUAAGUUUUUUGUUAUUUUCUUUGAUUGCAUUUAUUUCGUGUUUGCCAAUGAUUGUGUGUGUCUGUGCUGAUUGGAGGCUAUUGUUGUUCUCAAUGCUGUUUGAAUUCUUUUUAUGUUGAAUCUUUGUACAUCUUUAAUUUUCUUUCUUAUUAUUUUUUUACAUUUUCUGAUCAGUAGCAGAUUUGAUCCGUCUCCCUUCUGUUUUCGAUCAGCUCCUGUGUUUUGGAGAUAUUUUCUUGACAAGAUUUCUUGGUUGAAUUGCUAUAGUGUCCUUGGUACUAUCUCACAUGAUUGUUGCUAUCCUAUUGUUUGCUUUCUGUAAGUUACUUUCCUCUUCUGCAAGCACUUGGAAUCUGUUCUGGCAGUUUGGGUUAUAUUCUUCCUUCUUGGUCUUAAGCUCUGUCCAUAUUGAUCUUUUGUCCUCUUUCAUGUUGUUGAAUAUCCAAUUUGACUUUGGCAUGUACUAGUCUGUGAUCUCUGCCAAUGUUGAAUUGGUAGAGUGUGGAAACUUCUUUGCUUAUACAGUUGUUAUUGGUCAGGAUGAAGUCAAUCUCAUUCUUGGCUGUCCAUUGGGGCUGACAAUAUCAAUUUUUGUUGC